This 502-nucleotide ribosomal RNA is filed under the name uncultured bacterium. Its description in RNAcentral is "partial 16S ribosomal RNA". It matches the Rfam family "Bacterial small subunit ribosomal RNA", at positions 30 to 523 of the family's 1533-position model. The record is from RNAcentral.
AUUGAACGCUGGCGGAAUGCUUUACACAUGCAAGUCGAACGGCAGCACGGGUGCUUGCACCUGGUGGCGAGUGGCGAACGGGUGAGUAAUACAUCGGAACGUACCCAGUUGUGGGGGAUAACUAACCGAAAGGUUAGCUAAUACCGCAUACGACCUGAGGGUGAAAGCGGGGGACCGUAAGGCCUCGCGCAAUUGGAGCGGCCGAUGUCUGAUUAGCUAGUUGGGAGGGUAAAGGCCUACAAAGGCGACGAUCAGUAGCUGGUCUGAGAGGAUGAUCAGCCACACUGGAACUGAGACACGGUCCAGACUCCUACGGGAGGCAGCAGUGGGGAAUUUUGGACAAUGGGCGAAAGCCUGAUCCAGCCAUUCCGCGUGAGUGAAGAAGGCCUUCGGGUUGUAAAGCUCUUUCGGCAGGGAAGAAACGGCCUAGGUUAAUACCUUGGGCUAAUGACGGUACCUGAAGAAGAAGCACCGGCUAACUACGUGCCAGCAGCCGCCGUAA